RNAcentral lists this ribosomal RNA (460 nucleotides) under uncultured bacterium. RNAcentral's name for it is "partial 16S ribosomal RNA". It matches the Rfam family "Bacterial small subunit ribosomal RNA", at positions 338 to 795 of the family's 1533-position model. The record is from RNAcentral.
CCUACGGGAGGCAGCAGUGAGGAAUAUUGGUCAAUGGCCGUAAGGCUGAACCAGCCAAGUAGCGUGAGGGAAGACUGCCCUAUGGGUUGUAAACCUCUUUUAUGAGGGGAUAAAGGUGUCCACGUGUGGCUGUUUGCAGGUACCGCAUGAAUAAGGACCGGCUAAUUCCGUGCCAGCAGCCGCGGUAAUACGGAAGGUCCGGGCGUUAUCCGGAUUUAUUGGGUUUAAAGGGAGCGUAGGCCGGGCGUUAAGCGUGCCGUGAAAUUUUGUGGUCCAACCAUGAGAGUGCGGCGAGAACUGGAGACCUUGAGUGCGCGGAAGGUAGGCGGAAUUCGUGGUGUAGCGGUGAAAUGCUUAGAUAUCACGAAGAACCCCGAUUGCGAAGGCAGCCUGCCGCAGCGUUACUGACGCUGAAGCUCGAAAGCGUGGGUAUCGAACAGGAUUAGAUACCCUGGUAGUC